RNAcentral lists this ribosomal RNA (494 nucleotides) under uncultured bacterium. Its description in RNAcentral is "bacterial SSU rRNA". It matches the Rfam family "Bacterial small subunit ribosomal RNA", at positions 8 to 521 of the family's 1533-position model. The record is from RNAcentral.
AGAGUUUGAUCCUGGCUCAGAGUGAACGCUGGCGGCGUGCCUAACACAUGCAAGUCGAACGAUGAUGGAGAGCUUGCUCUCCUGAUUAGUGGCGCACGGGUGAGUAUACCAUAGAUAAUGUACCCCUUAGUUCGGGAUAGCCACUGGAAACGGUGAUUAAUACCGGAUACUCCUUCUCGUUAUAAGACGAGUCGGGAAAGUUUUUUCGCUAAGGGAUCAGUCUAUGUCCUAUCAGCUAGUUGGUGAGGUAAUGGCUCACCAAGGCUAUGACGGGUAUCUGGUUUGAGAGGAUGAUCAGACACACUGGAACUGAGACACGGUCCAGACUCCUACGGGAGGCAGCAGUGAGGAAUAUUGCACAAUGGAGGAAACUCUGAUGCAGCAACGCCGCGUGGAGGAUGACGCAUUUCGGUGUGUAAACUCCUUUUAAGAGGGAAGAUUAUGACGGUACCUCUUGAAUAAGCACCGGCUAACUCCGUGCCAGCAGCCGCGGU